This 117-nucleotide ribosomal RNA is filed under the name Candidatus Undinarchaeales archaeon. The record is from RNAcentral. Lineage: Archaea; Nanobdellati; Candidatus Undinarchaeota; Candidatus Undinarchaeia; Candidatus Undinarchaeales.
UCUGACGGCCAUAGCGGAGGGGUUCCACCCGAUCCCAUUCCGAACUCGGCAGUUAAGCUCUCCAGCGAUUUGUUGAUUACUGCGUUUUGACGUGGGAAAAACAAGACGCUGUCAGGC